This 30-nucleotide non-coding RNA is filed under the name Homo sapiens (human). The record is from RNAcentral. Lineage: Eukaryota; Metazoa; Chordata; Mammalia; Primates; Hominidae.
UGCAGAUACUGAGGCACUCAGGAGGCUCAG